ACGCUGGCGGCAGGCCUAACACAUGCAAGUCGAGCGGUAGAGAGAAGCUUGCUUCUCUUGAGAGCGGCGGACGGGUGAGUAAUGCCUAGGAAUCUGCCUGGUAGUGGGGGAUAACGUUCGGAAACGGACGCUAAUACCGCAUACGUCCUACGGGAGAAAGCAGGGGACCUUCGGGCCUUGCGCUAUCAGAUGAGCCUAGGUCGGAUUAGCUAGUUGGUGAGGUAAUGGCUCACCAAGGCGACGAUCCGUAACUGGUCUGAGAGGAUGAUCAGUCACACUGGAACUGAGACACGGUCCAGACUCCUACGGGAGGCAGCAGUGGGGAAUAUUGGACAAUGGGCGAAAGCCUGAUCCAGCCAUGCCGCGUGUGUGAAGAAGGUCUUCGGAUUGUAAAGCACUUUAAGUUGGGAGGAAGGGCAGUUACCUAAUACGUGAUUGUUUUGACGUUACCGACAGAAUAAGCACCGGCUAACUCUGUGCCAGCAGCCGCGGUAAUACAGAGGGUGCAAGCGUUAAUCGGAAUUACUGGGCGUAAAGCGCGCGUAGGUGGUUAGUUAAGUUGGAUGUGAAAUCCCCGGGCUCAACCUGGGAACUGCAUUCAAAACUGACUGACUAGAGUAUGGUAGAGGGUGGUGGAAUUUCCUGUGUAGCAGUGAAAUGCGUAGAUAUGUGGAGGAACACCGAUGGCGAAGGCAGCCCCCUGGGUCAAGAUUGACGCUCAUGCACGAAAGCGUGGGGAGCAAAC
This 745-nucleotide ribosomal RNA is filed under the name uncultured bacterium. Its description in RNAcentral is "bacterial SSU rRNA". It matches the Rfam family "Bacterial small subunit ribosomal RNA", at positions 33 to 773 of the family's 1533-position model. The record is from RNAcentral.